Transfer RNA from Exophiala spinifera, 109 nucleotides. It matches the Rfam family "tRNA". Rfam says of the family: Transfer RNA (tRNA) molecules are approximately 80 nucleotides in length. Their secondary structure includes four short double-helical elements and three loops (D, anti-codon, and T loops). Lineage: Eukaryota; Fungi; Ascomycota; Eurotiomycetes; Chaetothyriales; Herpotrichiellaceae. The record is from Rfam.
GGUCCUGUGACGCAGCAGGUUAGCGUGUCGUUCUUAUAUUGUAUGCUUGCAUCCUUUAUGAAUCUUUCGAGAUAUGCGAAAGUCGCGAGUUCAAAUCUCGCCAGGACCA